This 1532-nucleotide long non-coding RNA is filed under the name Felis catus (domestic cat). RNAcentral's name for it is "lncRNA (ENSFCAG00000040286.2)". The record is from RNAcentral. Lineage: Eukaryota; Metazoa; Chordata; Mammalia; Carnivora; Felidae.
GAAAGAAAUCAUAAGGAGGAAAUGGACCGGACUAGUACAAGUAUGAUUUGCUUAUGCCGCCAAGUGUGAAGUUGCACUUGAGAAUAAAUGAUCUCCUCACCUGCUAACACCACACAAGAGCUGAAGAAGGAAAACAAAGAAGGAGAAUCAGAGAAGACUAUCGGGAGGAAUUCAGAACAUCUUCACCUGGAUUUUCAUCGGUAUGUAGAAAUGUACAUGGUCAGAGCUGAAGGGAUAAUCUAACUUUUGACUUUCUCCUAUAUUUUGCAGCUUAUUGAAGGGCACAACUGUCCAUCCCAAGUCUUCCAAGCCCAAAUCCUGGGGUGACUUUUAACUCCUUUUUAAAAUUUUUUAAAAAAGUUUAUUUAUUUUUGAGAAAGGGAGAGAGAGAAUGCAUGAGUGAGGGAGGGGGGAGAGAGAGAGAGAAGGAGGGAGAGAAUCCCAAGCAGGCUCCAUACUGUCAGCAACAGGAGCCCUCUGUGGGCUUAGACCCACGAAUGUGAGAUUGUGAUCUGAGCCAAAAUCAAGAGCCAGACGCUUAACCCGCUAAGCCACCCAGGUGCCCCUUGACUCUUUUCUUAAAAAAAAAAAAAAAAAAUCAUAUUUAAUGAGUCAGCAAAUGCUAACGAUCUUCCCUCCACAAGUUCCUGACAUGUGCUCACGUUUCCCAAAUCUUCCACACUUUCAUCUUACCCUGUUUCAGGUACUCGUCAUCUCUUUCCUGGAACGCUGUGCCCACCUCCCGACUGGCUUUCCUGUUUCCAGUCUUUCCUCCCUCGUAUCUAUUCUCCAUCACCGGUAUGAGUCAUUGAUCUACAACAACAUCUAUCUGACUGUGUCACCACUGUCAGCAGUUCCCAAUGACAUGACUGUGGUAUUCCUCAAACUCAGCGAACCUCAAAGAUGGACCCCUGAGGAAAGCUUCACAUGUGAGAUAAAUGCACUCAGAGACUCCUCACAAGUAGCUCUUUGGAGCUUCAGAUGUGAAAUGGAUCAUUCCUCAAUCUGUAAUAGACCCUUCUGUGAAGCUCUUCAAUCAAACCUGAGAAUUCAAGGUUUGCAUUUAAAACGCUCUUGGAGCACUAAUUGUAUGAAAUUCUGGUAGCUGCACAUUCUCUUUUUGGAGAGGUAAUGAGUGAAUGAAUGAAAAGGCAGGGAUCAUUUGCCAUUCUAAGAGCGGGGAUUGUCAGAAUAUUUCUACUUGACUGAAAUUGUUUUGGAAGGUGAGCUGGAACAAGAAUCUUGCAACUAAAAUGACGUGACUCUGCAUGUGGUUUGGGGAUGUUUCUCUUCUCUGCAGAGCUGUUCUGAGACUUGGAAGUUGACUUAGAUUUUAUUUAUAAGGUGAAUCCUGUGAAAACAUCUUAAAGUACGCAUCUUUGAGUCUUAACAAGUAGGCGGGAGUCUUUGGAAAGCUCAUUUGGAGUUAUUUGAAAAGACUUUUCCUGUUACUAUCACAGUGUUUUUUCAAGAUACAGAUUGCCAGGUUGUGACAAAAUAAAUUAUUGAAAGCUUUGAAAAGUUUUUAGAAA